This is a long non-coding RNA of Leopardus geoffroyi (Geoffroy's cat), 387 nucleotides long. RefSeq lists it as uncharacterized. The transcript has 3 exons. The record is from RefSeq and is a predicted model, not a curated record. NCBI's taxonomy places the organism in Eukaryota, Metazoa, Chordata, Mammalia, Carnivora, Felidae.
AGGAAGAGGGGGUCACGGAGCAGCCUCCAAGGCUCCGGCCCCCCAGGCUCACCCUCUCCCUCCAGGUGCACCCAGGGCCCAGCCAAGCCCCUGCCUCCCCAGCCCGCCCUGACCCUCGCUCUGAGACCUGCCACCCACAGGCACAGCCGCGGGGCUCAGGGCAGAGCGGCCGCCGUGGCCCGGAGCCUGCAGUUCCCCGGACGGCCACUGGGUGCCGCUGCGGCCUCACUCAGAGAACACGGAGCCGGAACCCAAGCUAACGUGGCAUCUGGGAGGGCUGCCUGGAGGCAGUGUGAGCCUGAGGGCCUGGAAAGAUGGUGAGCACAGCCCGGACUCCCGCUCAGGUCCUGCUGUAAGCACGUGAACCCACACAGAAGGGACCACAGA